AUGAACAGGAGUUACGUGAAGAGGAGAACAAAGUCCAGGCAGGGCCGGGGAAGCGCGUGCCAAGGCACUGAGGGGAAGUGCUGCAAUGAACCUCAGAGGCUGGAUCUUGCUGACUCAUCUGGGGUGCCAAGGACAGGUACCCUGAGAAGCUGUCACCUUGGCAACUGUCACCUUCUGGUGAGAUUUACAAUUGCACUGCUACAUCUGCUGUGGCAUGGUAAAGUUGCACCAGGACCUCUGCUGUCCAUGAGAUCAAAGCUCCAGGCCAACGCACCAGGGGCACAAACAGUGUUGCCCACAUGGAACUCACAUUUAAUGGGAGCGGCAGCCAACAGGACAGAGAAGAAACUAACAAGAGUGUUUACCUCUGAGGAGGAGAAUUGGGAAGCUGAGAGCAGAGGAAGGUGGAAGACUUACUUUUCACUGUGUUCUUUUUUGUACCUUUUGAAUUUUGUACCACAUGCUGAAUCUUUGACCCAUUUGCAAGUAUAA
Molecule: long non-coding RNA, 492 nt
Filed under: Papio anubis (olive baboon)
Lineage: Eukaryota; Metazoa; Chordata; Mammalia; Primates; Cercopithecidae
Description: lncRNA (ENSPANG00000046725.1)
Source: RNAcentral